Molecule: ribosomal RNA, 189 nt
Filed under: uncultured bacterium
Lineage: Bacteria
Description: partial 16S ribosomal RNA
Rfam family: Bacterial small subunit ribosomal RNA
Source: RNAcentral
GACUACAUGAAGCUGGAAUCGCUAGUAAUCGCGGAUCAGAAUGCCGCGGUGAAUACGUUCCCGGGUCUUGUACACACCGCCCGUCACACCAUGGGAGUCGGAAAUGCCCGAAGUCUGUGACCCAACCUGAGAGGGAGGGAGCAGCCGAAGGCAGGUCUGAUGACUGGGGUGAAGUCGUAACAAGGUACC